This 369-nucleotide long non-coding RNA is filed under the name Mustela putorius furo (domestic ferret). Its description in RNAcentral is "lncRNA (ENSMPUG00000023955.1)". The record is from RNAcentral. Lineage: Eukaryota; Metazoa; Chordata; Mammalia; Carnivora; Mustelidae.
CAUAGGAGGCAGAACUGGUUGGUAUUUGGUGAGAACGUGCAGCGUGAGCGGAGAGUAACUCCCAGGCAUCAGGUCCAAGCAACGGCUGAUGGCGUCACUUCCUGAGCACGGCUACCCGGUACCGUCAAGAUUAAGAUCUUGGGGACUGGACUGGAAACCAAAUUGGCAUUAAUAUGGGAAGAUGUACUUUGAUAUAAUGAAAAUUUAGAAAAACAUGUGAGUUGGAUUCUGUCUGUAUCUUUAUAGAGAUAUGUGUAUAAAUAUAUUACAAAAUUCACAUCAAUUUACACAUAACUUUUAUGUAAAUUACAAUACAAGUAUUUGAGGUUUGAAUGCUAUAGUUUGUUUUUAUUAAGAUUUACUAAUUGA